GCCUCAUUAUAUUAUAUGAGGUAGAACCUGCUCAAUGCGAAAGUAAAUAGCCGCAGUACUCUGACUGUGCAAAGGUAGCAUAAUAAAUUGGCCUUUAAUUGGGGUCUGGAAUGAAUGGUUUGACAAGGAUUUGACUGUCUCAAUUGAUAAAAAUUUUUGAAAUUGAAUUGUCUGUAAAAAUGCUGACAUAGAAAAGAGGGACGAGAAGACCCUAUAGAUCUUUCAAUAAACUAGGAGUUAAUUUGACUUUCUAGUUUAUUUUAUUUGGGGAAAAUCCUGAAAUAUUAAACUUCGGUUAAGUUUUAAAGAUUUAAAAAUUGAUUUUAGAUCCACUAAAAUGUGAAAAAAUGAAAAAGUUACCUUAGGGAUAACAGGACAAUGACUUCCUUGGAGAUCUUAUCCUAGGAAGCGUUUGUUACCUCGAUGUUGAAUUAAGUUAUCUCAUUAAAGGAGAAAUUCUUGGAGUUGGUCUGUUCGACCAUUAAAAAC
RNAcentral lists this ribosomal RNA (489 nucleotides) under Physconelloides emersoni. RNAcentral describes it as "partial 16S ribosomal RNA". It matches the Rfam family "Bacterial large subunit ribosomal RNA", at positions 1833 to 2595 of the family's 2925-position model. Lineage: Eukaryota; Metazoa; Arthropoda; Insecta; Psocodea; Philopteridae. The record is from RNAcentral.